UGGGGAAUAUUGCACAAUGGGCGCAAGCCUGAUGCAGCGACGCCGCGUGCGGGAUGGAGGCCUUCGGGUUGUAAACCGCUUUUGUUCAAGGGCAAGGCACGGUCUUUGGCCGUGUUGAGUGGAUUGUUCGAAUAAGCACCGGCUAACUA
This 149-nucleotide ribosomal RNA is filed under the name uncultured bacterium. RNAcentral describes it as "partial 16S ribosomal RNA". It matches the Rfam family "Bacterial small subunit ribosomal RNA", at positions 355 to 503 of the family's 1533-position model. The record is from RNAcentral.